This 1018-nucleotide ribosomal RNA is filed under the name uncultured bacterium. RNAcentral describes it as "bacterial SSU rRNA". It matches the Rfam family "Bacterial small subunit ribosomal RNA", at positions 434 to 1473 of the family's 1533-position model. The record is from RNAcentral.
UCCCAUGGGACGAACACAAUGACGGUACCAUGGGAGGAAGCCCGGGCUAACUACGUGCCAGCAGCCGCGGUAAUACGUAGGGGGCAAGCGUUGUCCGGAAUUAUUGGGCGUAAAGGUGCGUAGGCGGCCUUUCAAGUCGGAUGUGAAAUCCCCGUGCUUAACAUGGGAAUUGCAUUCGAAACUGGAGGGCUUGAGUGUGGAAGAGGUAAGUGGAAUUCCCAGUGUAGCGGUGAAAUGCGUAGAUAUUGGGAGGAACACCAGUGGCGAAGGCGACUUACUGGGCCACAACUGACGCUGAGGCACGAAAGCGUGGGGAGCAAACAGGAUUAGAUACCCUGGUAGUCCACGCUGUAAACUAUGGAUACUAGGUGUAGGGGGUAACACCCCCCCUGUGCCGCAGCUAACGCAAUAAGUAUCCCGCCUGGGGAGUACGGUCGCAAGAUUGAAACUCAAAGGAAUUGACGGGGGCCCGCACAAGCAGCGGAGCAUGUGGUUUAAUUCGAAGCAACGCGAAGAACCUUACCAAGGCUUGACAUCCUCUGACCGCCAUGGAAACAUGGCUUCCCUUCGGGGCAGAGAGACAGGUGGUGCAUGGUUGUCGUCAGCUCGUGUCGUGAGAUGUUGGGUUAAGUCCCGCAACGAGCGCAACCCUUACACUUAGUUACCAGCGGGUAAUGCCGGGGACUCUAGGUGGACUGCCGGGGACAACUCGGAGGAAGGUGGGGAUGACGUCAAAUCAUCAUGCCCCUUAUGUCUUGGGCUACACACGUGCUACAAUGGCCGCUACAAAGGGAUGCAAUACCGCAAGGAGGAGCAAAACCCAUAAAAGCGGUCCCAGUUCGGAUUGUGGGCUGCAACCCGCCCACAUGAAGUCGGAGUUGCUAGUAAUCGCGGAUCAGCAUGCCGCGGUGAAUGCGUUCCCGGGCCUUGUACACACCGCCCGUCACACCAUGGGAGUUGGGAGUGCCCGAAGCCGGGACUUAACCGCAAGGAGAGAGCCUCGAAGGCAAGACCAAGU